CGCGUAGGCGGUUCGUUAAGUCCUGUGUGAAAUCCCCCGGCUCAACUGGGGAACUGCACAGGAAACUAGCGGGCUUGAGUUCGGGAGAGGGAAGCGGAAUUCCGGGUGUAGCGGUGAAAUGCGUAGAUAUCCGGAGGAACACCGGUGGCGAAGGCGGCUUCCUGGACCGACACUGACGCUGAGGCGCGAAAGCUAGGGGAGCAAAACGG
RNAcentral lists this ribosomal RNA (209 nucleotides) under uncultured bacterium. RNAcentral's name for it is "partial 16S ribosomal RNA". It matches the Rfam family "Bacterial small subunit ribosomal RNA", at positions 568 to 776 of the family's 1533-position model. The record is from RNAcentral.